RNAcentral lists this ribosomal RNA (667 nucleotides) under uncultured Methanosaeta sp. Its description in RNAcentral is "bacterial SSU rRNA". It matches the Rfam family "Archaeal small subunit ribosomal RNA", at positions 83 to 754 of the family's 1478-position model. Lineage: Archaea; Methanobacteriati; Methanobacteriota; Methanomicrobia; Methanotrichales; Methanotrichaceae. The record is from RNAcentral.
CGGCUCAGUAACACGUGGAUAACCUACCCUUGAGACGGGGAUAAACCCGGGAAACUGGGUAUAAUACCCGAUAGAUCUCGACUGCUGGAAUGCAUCGAGCUUGAAAGCUCCGGCGCUCAAGGAUGGGUCUGCGGCCUAUCAGGUAGUAGUGGGUGUAGCGUACCUACUAGCCUACGACGGGUACGGGUUGUGAGAGCAAGAGCCCGGAGAUGGAUUCUGAGACACGAAUCCAGGCCCUACGGGGUGCAGCAGGCGCGAAAACUUUACAAUGCUGGAAACAGCGAUAAGGGGACCUCGAGUGCCAGGUUACAAAUCUGGCUGUCGUGAUGCCUAAAAAGCAUUGCAUAGCAAGGGCCGGGCAAGACCGGUGCCAGCCGCCGCGGUAACACCGGCGGCUCGAGUGGUAACCGUUAUUAUUGGGUCUAAAGGGUCUGUAGCCGGCCGGAUAAGUCUCUUGGGAAAUCUGGCAGCUUAACUGUCAGGCUUUCAGGAGAUACUGUCUGGCUCGAGGCCGGGAGAGGUGAGAGGUACUUCAGGGGUAGGGGUGAAAUCUUGUAAUCCUUGAAGGACCACCAGUGGCGAAGGCGUCUCACCAGAACGGACCUGACGGCAAGGGACGAAAACUAGGGGCACGAACCGGAUUAGAUACCCGGGUAGUCCUAGCCGU